Microcebus murinus (gray mouse lemur) is the source of this 678-nucleotide non-coding RNA. NCBI's taxonomy places the organism in Eukaryota, Metazoa, Chordata, Mammalia, Primates, Cheirogaleidae. The record is from RefSeq and is a predicted model, not a curated record.
AGCCCAGUGGCAGCGGCCACAAUGGACCCGGAGCCAGUGGGCCGUGUGGAAGAAGUCUCAGCCUGGGGAGCUGGGGCCGCUGCGCCAUUCAGGGAACCGCCCCGGCAGAUGAGUAACGAGACAGGCUUUGACAAUGUAGAACUCGGAAUCAUAGGAAAAAAGAAGAAAGUCCCAAGGAGACUCAUCCACUUUGUUAGUGGUGAAACAAUGGAAGAAUACAGCACAGAUGAAGAUGAAGUCGAUGGCCUGGAGAAGAAGAUGUUUUGCCAACUGUUGAUCCUACAAAACUUACCUGGGGUCCCUAUUUAUGGUUUUACAUGCCUCGGGCUGCCACAUCAACCCUCUCAGUGUGUGACUUUCUUGGAGAGAAGAUUGCAUCUGUUUUGGGCAUCAGCACCCCAAAAUACCAAUAUGCCAUUGAUGAAUAUUACCGGAUGAAGAAGGAGGAAGAAGAGGAAGAGGAAGAAAACAGGAUGUCUGAAGAAGCAGAAAGAGGAUAUCAGCAGAAUAAACUACAGACUGAUUCCAUUGUUCAGACAGAUCAACCAGAAACAAUGGUAUCCAGUUCAUUUGUGAAUCUCAAUUUUGAAAUGGAGGGAGACACUGAAGUAAUUAUGGAAAGCAAACCAAAUCCAGUCUCUGUCCCACCGUAGAAUGAAAUGACUAUCAAACUUCAAA